UACGGAGGGGGCGAGCGUUAUUCGGAAUUAUUGGGCGUAAAGGGCGCGUAGGCGGCUUGUCAAGUCAAAGGUGAAAUCCCUCGGCUCAACUGAGGAACUGCCUUUGAAACUAGCGAGCUUGAGUCCGGGAGGGGGUAGCGGAAUUCCCAGUGUAGCGGUGAAAUGCGUAGAUACUGGGAGGAACACCAGUGGCGAAGGCGGCUACCUGGACCGGUUCUGACGCUGAGGCGCGAAAGCGUGGGUAGCAAACAGG
This 253-nucleotide ribosomal RNA is filed under the name uncultured bacterium. Its description in RNAcentral is "partial 16S ribosomal RNA". It matches the Rfam family "Bacterial small subunit ribosomal RNA", at positions 524 to 776 of the family's 1533-position model. The record is from RNAcentral.